GGGGGUGUCCUGGUUUCGACGGGGGUUGCGAAAUCGACCGGCGCAUGCCGAGGGGGCUGCUUUCCUCGUUAAUCCAGCGGCGAAAAAAAUAGUUGCCAACGACGACAACUACGCUCUGGCCGCCUAAGGCCUAGCCCCGAACCCACUUGUGCCCGUGCUCGUGGAUGUAGGGUCAUCAUCACGGGAUCGCCGGAGGUGGCCGCCUGCCUGCCUCCGGUCAAACCAGGCAGGCUGGUCCCAGGGCGCGCUUCGCACACCGUGCUGCCCGGGGGCGAGACCCAACGGUGGGCUAAGCAUGUAGUGCCGGAGAUGGAGUGCCUUCGGACGGCGGUUCGACUCCGCCCACCUCCACCA
RNAcentral lists this transfer-messenger RNA (354 nucleotides) under Pseudoxanthomonas taiwanensis. RNAcentral describes it as "Standard tmRNA". It matches the Rfam family "transfer-messenger RNA". Rfam says of the family: Bacterial tmRNA, also known as 10Sa RNA or SsrA, is named for its dual tRNA and mRNA-like properties. Its role is to liberate the mRNA from a stalled ribosome. Lineage: Bacteria; Pseudomonadati; Pseudomonadota; Gammaproteobacteria; Lysobacterales; Lysobacteraceae. The record is from Rfam by way of RNAcentral.